This is a long non-coding RNA of Osmerus eperlanus (European smelt), 844 nucleotides long. RefSeq lists it as uncharacterized. The record is from RefSeq and is a predicted model, not a curated record. Lineage: Eukaryota; Metazoa; Chordata; Actinopteri; Osmeriformes; Osmeridae. The transcript has 3 exons.
CUCCAAAUCUGUGCAAGCACAUUGGGUUUGAUGCCUACUGGAUGCCAACUUUCACCAAUGGCUGCCAAUACACAACACGGCAUGAUCAAGGAGAACUACAACGAGGUCAGAAUCAUUACAAAAAGAAAAUUAGGAAGAAAAAAAGCGAUCUCAAGCUGCCACCCUCCUCCAGCCCUCCACCCUCCUCCCGCCCUCCAACCCUUCACCCCUCACCUACAAUCCUCUAAUGCCAUCUGCACCACCAACGGGAGAACAGACGCACCAUGCCCAUGCCAAGAGGCGGACAAAGACCCUGCCGGAUCCCUGGAGUACGGGCGCUUUCAGAGAAGCCAUCUUGGGAGUUGUUGCCGCGGCACCUAAAAUGGCUGGAUUGGCACACGAGGUCUGACUGUGGUGUGAUUUCUGAGGCUCAUGAUGUUUACUUCGUGGUCAACCGUCCUGCCAUGGGAUGAUUUUGAACAGAACCACUGCCCUACACCAUCAGACCGUUUAACGACUAUCACUUUCAUACAGUAUGAUGAGCUACAGAACAAACUACUGUAGACAUCUAAACUCGAGGAAGUUCAGGAUACAUGCUCUACAAAACCUUGCCUCCUUCUUCAGAAAACCUAUCAGUUUGGAACUAUGUCUGGCUACCAUCUGACUAAAACAUCUGAUUAUACAUCUGAAUGUCUUUUACUUGGCUAUGCACAUGCUUCGCUGAUCUGAGACUGAUUAUUAAAGAAAAAAGUAGGAGAUUUUAUGAUACUGAAUUGUUGUGCCAUGAAAUUAAGUGAAUUUGUUGCAUUUAGAUUUGCUUGUAAAUUGUAUUUUAAAAUGUAAUAUGUUUCCUAAAUAAAGUGAU